Cygnus atratus (black swan) is the source of this 3037-nucleotide RNA transcript. It is a transcript of the gene named mitochondrial E3 ubiquitin protein ligase 1, with no coding region annotated. The record is from RefSeq and is a predicted model, not a curated record. The transcript has 5 exons. Lineage: Eukaryota; Metazoa; Chordata; Aves; Anseriformes; Anatidae.
CGCCGCGCCGGUUGCCGUGGUGACGGCGGCCAUGGAGGGCGGCGGAGGCGGCGGGCGGCCCUCGGCCCUGCAGGCCGCGCUGCUGGCGGCCAGCGCCGCCCUCACGGCGCUGCUGUGCUCCGCGUACCGCCGCAAGGCCCGGCUGGCCCGCGGCCUCCAGGGCGCCAGGAGGCUGCGGCUGGACGGGGAGCUGCGGGCCGUGCUGCUGGAGGCGCCGGGGCGCUGCGUGCCCUAUGCGGUCAUCGAAGGCGUGGUGCGCUCCGUGAAGGACACCCUGAGCAGCCAGUUCGUGGAGGACUGCAAGGGCGUGGUGCAGAGGCUGACGCUGCAGGAGCACAAGAUGGUGUGGAACCGAACCACCCACCUCUGGAACGACUACGAGAAGGUGAUCCACCAGCGGACCAACGCGGCCCCCUUCGACCUGGCCCCUGCGGGGGACGGCGCCGGCGUCGCCGUGAGGGUGAUGAAGCCGCUGGAAGCCGCCGAGCUCAGCCUGGAGACGGUGUACGAGAAGUUCCACCCCUCGGUGCAGUCCUUCACCGACGUCCUCGGCCACUACAUCAGCGGCGAGCGCCCCAAGGGCAUCCAGGAGACGGAGCAGAUGCUGAAGGUGGGGACGGUGCUGACGGGCGUGGGGGAGCUGGUGCUGGACAGCAACACCAUCAGGCUGCAGCCGCCCAAGCAGGGCCUGCGGUACUACCUGAGCAGCGCGGACUUCGACGCCUUGCUGCAGAAGCAGCAGGCGAGCGUCAGGCUCUGGAAGGUCCUCGCCGUCCUCUCCGGCUUCGCCACCUGCGCCGUCCUCUUCUUCCUCCUGCGGAAGCAGUACCGGCACCGCCGCGAGAGGCAGCGCCUCAAGCAGCUGCAGGAGGAGUUCAGGCAAGCCCAGGAGCAGCGGCUGACGCGCCAAGCCGGCGCGGAGGGCGCGGAGGGGCCGAGAAACGCCUGCGUGAUCUGCCUGAGCAACGCCAAGGCCUGCGUCUUCCUGGAGUGCGGCCACGUCUGCUCCUGCAGCGAGUGCUACCGCGCCCUGCGGGACCCCAAGGCGUGCCCCGUCUGCAGGCAGCCCAUCGCCAGGGUGGUUCCCCUCUACAACAGCUGAGCCCCCGCGCCCGGGGGGGGCUUUGGGGCGUUAAAGCUCCCUCCCUAGCGGGGGGUUUCUCGCCGCUCCUGCUUCGGCUGGCACGUCUCGCUGCUUGGGCAGGUGGUUUGUGCGUGUUUGUUUUUUGUGGUUUUCUGGUUUUGUUUUGCUGGGAAGGGAAUCGAAAAUGCUGGGGGAGGGGAGGGGGCUGGCGCAGAGCGGGGCGCCUCGGCUGGGUGCGGAGGGAGGUUUGCGUGGAGGCCGAAGGCCAGCUCGCUGCCGAGAUACCCGCGGUGGGAAAACUUGGUGACAAAAAGCUGCGAGAGGGCUGCUGGGAGGCUGCGGCACGCGGGCGGCACUGCCACCUAGCAGCAGCUCCUCCGCCCCCUGGGCAGGACGGUCUCCUGCGGAGCUUCUGCGGGGUUUUGCGUGAACGCUGAUGUUUUUGGGGCGAGAGGGGUGCGGCGUUUCCCUCGGCUGCCCCGAGGCCUCCUGCCGCGCGUGGCGGGGGGCCGUUGGUUCCUCACCGCGCCAGGACAGGAGAACGAGGAAGUGACAGCGCGGUUUCCGCCGCCAGGCUCGAGCUGGGAGCUGGAACGGGCUGUAAAAUAAUAAAAGUGGCUGAGAGUGGUUAUCGAAGAUGAUAGAAUCGAUGACGUGCUGCAAAAUCUCUCCGAAAAGGCCCCUCCCGGUGUUUAAUACCUCUCCGGGGACAUUCGGUGAAAACCGGGGCCGGGUGUGGGGGGGGCGGUUUCCAAUAUCCCAGGUUUUUGGCAAAAAUUAACUAAAAAAAAAAAAAAAAAAAGCACCGGGAGAACCAACGCGCCGGGCUCGGAGCGCCGUCACCGCCAGCACGCCGCGCAGGGGAUGCAGGCGACAGGACAGCACAGGAUCCCCGUGAGAUGCAAAAUUACAUACAAAAAAAAGAAAAUAAUAAUUGGGGAAAAAAAGAAUAAAACCCGCUCCACAAUCCCCCCCCCCCAGCCACGUCCACAAAGGCUCGCGAGGGACGGAGGCGCUGCGGGUUUCUGCGCCGGGGACGGCGAGCGCAGCGCCGGGGCUCGGACCCUCGGGUGGCGCCGAGCGGGCGCCUUGUUUACACGAGUUAACCUUGCAAAAAUGAAUCCGUGCACUUGGAGGUACCAUGCUACUGGUUCUGUUCUUUGAUUUCGUUUUGGUUUUAUUUUAUUUUUAUUUUUUACGUUGGUGUCUUUCGAUGUUGGGAAAUGAUAUAAAAUAUAUAUAGAUAUCUAUAUUUCGGUCGCGUUUUAAGGUUCACAAUGGAAUGCGUGGGGGGGAAAAAAAGCAAAACAAAACAACUUUUAUAAAGGAACGGACUGGAGGGAGAAUUGUGGUUUUAUUUUUUAAAGCUUGCACUUCUUGGUUGCUGUGAGCAAACGGCUCUGUGCAGACGGAGAUUUUAUAUGUACGGGGGGGAUGCUCGGCCUUUUUAACAACCAUGCAGUCUGUAGUGUGGGUAAUUUUUUUUUUUCUUAUAUUGUGGCAGUUUCCUCUCUUUAAUAGACUGUAUUAAAAAAGAAAAAACUCGAUCACAAAUUAACCUGAUGGAUGUAAUCAUCACAAGAGUGCCAAACGCUGGGUGCCGGAGAGCCGCGUUUCAUGCCCAGGCUUUGCGCUCUCGCGGGCAGCGCCGGGGCUUCGCUCGGCUCCUACGCCUCUGUCGGUCUCUCGUGGGGUUUCUUUGACUUCUCUUUUCUAGUCUUUCUUUUUAACUAUUUUGCAUGACAUGCAAAAAAAAAAAAAGGAAAAAAAAAAAAAACCAAGCACCUCUCGUGCGAGGGCCUAUUUUAUUGUUUUCUGUUUGCGACUCUGAAUGACAGACCUCAAGCCAGGUUUCCUUUCCUCCUUUUCUUAAAUAUCGUGUAUGGUGCACUUCUCCUCCACUACACAGGGCUAUUUCUGCAAUGUACCAAUAAAAAGGAAAAUGAGACAAAA